Molecule: ribosomal RNA, 206 nt
Filed under: uncultured Acidobacteriota bacterium
Lineage: Bacteria; Pseudomonadati; Acidobacteriota
Description: uncultured Acidobacteria bacterium partial 16S ribosomal RNA
Rfam family: Bacterial small subunit ribosomal RNA
Source: RNAcentral
UGGCGCACGGGUGAGUAACACGUGACUAACCUACCCUUGACUGGGGGAUAACCUAGGGAAACCUGGGCUAAUACCCGCAUAAUACCCACGGGUCAGAGGAGCAAUUCGCUUAAGGAGGGGGUCGCGGCCGAUUAGUUAGUUGGCGGGGUAAUGGCCCACCAAGACUAUGAUCGGUAUCCGGCCUGAGAGGGCGCACGGACACACUU